This is a non-coding RNA of Cajanus cajan (pigeon pea), 293 nucleotides long. Lineage: Eukaryota; Viridiplantae; Streptophyta; Magnoliopsida; Fabales; Fabaceae. The record is from RefSeq and is a predicted model, not a curated record.
UUUAUGGAUUUUUAGAACCCGAGUUAAUCCAAAAAAUUGGGAACAAGACAGAAGAAAUUCAAGCUUACAUCCAAAAUUGGAUGCCUGACUCAAAUAAAAAAGUUUACUUAGUUCCUUACUUUUCUAAUGCUCAUUGGCAACUUCUGAUUAUUUGUCCUAUGGACAAUAUAUCUGUAUGCAUUUGUUCGAUGCACAAACCUCCUCCUGCAGACUUUAAACAAUUAUUAGAUAAGGCUAUGGAAGGAUACCAUAUACUUAAAGGUUCAAAGUUGAAGAAAAAAAUGCUUUGGGUC